RNAcentral lists this ribosomal RNA (380 nucleotides) under uncultured bacterium. RNAcentral's name for it is "partial 16S ribosomal RNA". It matches the Rfam family "Bacterial small subunit ribosomal RNA", at positions 338 to 732 of the family's 1533-position model. The record is from RNAcentral.
CCUACGGGAGGCUGCAGUGGGGAAUAUUGGGCAAUGGGCGCAAGCCUGACCCAGCAAAGCCGCGUGAAGGAAGAAGGCUUUCGGGUUGUAAACUUCUUUUCUCAGGGACGCAGCAAGUGACGGUACCUGAGGAAUACGCCACGGCUAACCACGUGCCAGCAGCCGCGGUAAUACGUCGGUGGCAAGCGUUAUCCGGAUUCACUGGGUGUAAAGGGCGUGUAGGCGGGAAAGCAAGUCAGAUGUGAAACUCAUGGGCUCAAACUGUGGCCUGCAUUUGAAACUGUCUUUCUUGAGUACUGGAGAGGUACACGGAAUUCCUGGUGUAGCGGUGAAAUGCGUAGAUAUUAGGAGGAACACCAGUGGCGAAGGCGGUCUACUGG